UGGGGAAUAUUGCACAAUGGAGGGAACUCUGAUGCAGCGACGCCGCGUGAACGAAGAAGGCUUUCGAGUCGUAAAGUUCUUUUAUAUGGGAAGAUAAUGACGGUACCAUAAGAAAAAGCCCCGGCUAACUACGUGCCAGCAGCCGCGGUAAUACGUAGGGGGCUAGCGUUGUCCGGAAUCACUGGGCGUAACGGGUUCGCAGGCGGAAAUGCAAGUCAGGUGUAAAAGGCAGUAGCUUAACUACUGUAAGCAUUUGAAACUGCAUAUCUUGAGAAGAGUAGAGGUAAGUGGAAUUUUUAGUGUAGCGGUGAAAUGCGUAGAUAUUAAAAAGAAUACCGGUGGCGAAGGCGACUUACUGGGCUCAUUCUGACGCUGAGGAACGAAAGCGUGGGUAGCAAACAGG
Molecule: ribosomal RNA, 403 nt
Filed under: Verrucomicrobiota bacterium
Lineage: Bacteria; Pseudomonadati; Verrucomicrobiota
Also listed under: 1 other name
Description: Verrucomicrobia bacterium partial 16S ribosomal RNA
Rfam family: Bacterial small subunit ribosomal RNA
Source: RNAcentral